CUUUUCCAGCUGCCCUGUAUAUUUCUUGUGAUGAGGGGAUAAGGACCUUGUAAUGUCAGUAGAACAGAAUAGCUCAUACCUUACAUCUGAAAUUCAUUGCAGUACCCCUAUUUGGGCUCAAAACACCUGUCAGCACGGUGACCGGCAGGCUGUAGGAUGAAGUUCAAGAGCCUGAGCAGCAGGGUUACAGUGAUCGGAGCCUCCAAAAUAACUAUUACAGCAGCAAACUCAGACGGAUCUUCAUAUCUCAUCCUCUUCUGGAGCUGGCACACAUGAGAGGUGGCAAUAGGGUGCAGGCUUUCUUCAGCCAAAGAGCAGGCAAGGCUCUUGGGAGCCAAGUUUCCCAGUUCUUCCAUUAAAAGGCAACUCACACCUGCCAGUGGAUGAAAAUGAAGAAGGAAGAACUUAUUCCUUAGGAUCCCUGCCUAAAGUUAUUCAUGCAGAGAGAUAAAUUUUAAUCAAUAGCUUUCAACACGUAACACUGAGAGCAAGCACGCCUUUCACAUAAUCAACAUGCACAGCUUAUGGGAAGGCCAUUCAGACAAUAUAUCUCUUUGAUUUAAUGGCAGAUGUGAAUACGCUAAGUCUGGUGGGCUUGAACAAGUAUGCUGGAAUCUUUGCACAUGUGACUUAGGGUUGGUCUGUAUCUGCUUGCCUAAAGAGCAGUAGCUGAAGAUGCGGGAGCGUAGGCUGUCAGUCAGCAAAACAGUGGGUAUCUUUAACCCAGACAACCUCAGAAGUUCUAUUUAAAGCUGUGUACGUUGAAGCAACCUGAAAUCUUUAAUGGCCUUGAGAGAAGCACUCUGGGGGGCUUUGCUUUGUGCUUUUCAUUGCACUUCACUGAUAUGCUUACUUUGUGUAUAUUUUUUUCAGCAGUGAACAGAUGGCCCCCUGCUGCUCACCACAAAUGUGUUAUUAUUACUUCAACCAAAAUCUCCUUUAGAAGAAAGCAAGGCAAUGUUUGUUUUACUUCCAGAUAACCUUGAAAAAGGCAAAACCACAAUAAUACAGUUAAAACAAAACAGAACAAAACAAAAAAGAGGAACAAAGAGGAAUGUAGAAAAAAAAGUAGAAAAAUAAAGUAAAAUGAAGAAGAAAAAAAGGAAAGGGAAGGGAAUGGAAAAACAAAACAAAACAAAACAAAACAAAGAGAACAAAGAAAGAGAAAAAAAGAAAAGAGCAAAAAGACAGUGACCCAACAAGUUCAAAGCCUCUGAAUAUACACCUUCAGAUAUCUGCUUGAAAAACAUACUAAAAAUUACAAAACUGUGAUCGCUCGUUCUUCAUUUACUGCAAUGUCAAGCUGGUCAGCUUGAAUCAUUCAGAUUCAAGGUAAUUAUUUCUUAGUAGAUGCUAACACCCUGUCUGCCCUUAGUAUAAUGGUCAAAUUGGUAAAACAAGACUGAUCACCCACUCCCCUAAAUCCAAGGUAUUCUGGAUUGUGUCAGCUGAGAGUCCAUUUCCUUUGGGUUAUUGCUGUUCCUAAGACUUAAGGGUAAUAGAAACCUAUUCAAACAAUAGCAGUCUCAAUUAAAAGUGUGUGAUAUACACUAUUCAGACUCCAAGGUUAGAAAAACACGUUUUGAAAGCACAGCUCUAUUAUUAUUAUUUACUAUUAUAGAGUAUUAGCCAAGGCAAAUAUUAUUGUCCUCCAAAAAAUCUGAAAAUCCCAGUAGGGUGGCACACAGCUGACAUUCCUAGCUGUUUGCUGUCUUGUAUGGAACUCCAUGUGAUCCACAGCUAAAGGGCUGACACACUUGCUACUGAAGCACCGCGGUCACCUCAGAGAAAUACACGUCCUACCCAGAGUAUUUCAAAAUGCAAAGGCAAGAAGAAGAAGUGGGAGGAGGAAAACCACAGAGAUAGUAGCUGUAUGAGGAAGGGAAAUGAGGACUGAACCCAUAAAGCCUUCACUGUUUUCAUCACACACAUAUGUUCCUUCUUCUUCAGCCAGAGUCUGGUGGGCUGCCAGGAGCCAUGAAAUCUGUAAGCCUGGAAACUGAGUUUUUAAUGAAUCAACGUAUAGUCAGAAGAGCCCCAAACAUCUCAUCCAAGGAAUGAAGCAUCCUCAUCUUUUAAAAGCAUUGGUGAAGCAUUAAGAACAGUUCAACAAGUACUGACUCCACAUGGAAGGACUAACUUGCCCUCUUCUAUGCAAGGGACAGAGAAGUCUCCACAGCCUGGAGGAUGAGAUGCUUCAGACAGAGGAAAAAAGCAAAGGUUUUUCUCCAUUCCCAGCCAAGAAGCAACACCUCUCCUCUGCCAGUUCAUCUCUGAUUUCAUCUCAUUCCUGGCCACACUGGAUAAAAGACAGAGGAUUUUAUAAUUUUGGUUUCUAAACAUCCCCAGAAAUAAAUUCCAAGGAGCAGCUGACCCAUGAAUGCAAGAGAGUUGCAUUUAUUGAGAGCGCUGCCUCCACUUGUCAUCCUUCCACCCAGAGGUCGUAGUUGGCUGUAACGUGGGGUGCUCUGAGAAGUGGCUUCCAGCAAAAGUGGCACUGGGCCCACGAUUUUGCUUCUCACAUCUGUCUGGCCUCAGGGAACUCUAAUUAAACACCACUGAAAAGAAUGGGGUGAAGUAUACGGUGGAGUAGAGAUUGUGUAGACAUCAAAGUCUUUCUCUGUUUUCAUUGGAACUUCAAAAUACUGCUGAAAUAUUUGCUAAACCUAGCUGAUGUCUUCUUCCUAGAAGCUGCUGAGGGAGCAGGGACUGUACAGCAUGGAGACGAGGAGGCUCAGGGGAGACUUUACAACUACCUGAAAGGAGGUUGUGGCAAAGUGGGGGUCAGCCUCUUCUCCCAGGUAACAGCGAUAGGAUGAGAGGAAAUGGCCUUAAGUAGCACCAGGGGAGAUUCACGUACGAUAUUAGAGAAAAUUUCUUCUCAGAAAGAGUGAAGCAGUGGCAUAGGCUGCCCAAGGUGAUGGAGUUACCAUCCCUGCAGGUGCUCAAGAACCAUGUGGAUGUGGUACUGAGGGACAUGGUUAGUGGGCAUGGUGUGAUGGUCUGACAGUUGGACUUGAUGGUCCUAGCAGUCUUUUUAACCUUAAUGAUUCUAUGAUUUGCUGAUAGCCUGUCCUCUACUGUGCUAUCUGAGCUGCCUUCAGUGGCAUUUCCACUGAAACAGCACAGUUUUCCUUAGCUGCCGAUAGCAGGAACAGUCUUUGCAGCUGAGGAUCAGGUGAGGACAGGCCCUGCUCAGGCCCAAGCAUCAGCAUCACCCUUUUCAACACUACCUUAGAAAUGACAGCCCUACAUUGAGACUAUGGCCCCUCUGGGUUUUGCCACUGUGUCCAAUUAAAUACUUUAUGUUAUUCUUCAUUUAUAAGGGGUAAGAGAGGAAAAUGACACACAUGAUUAGUAUAGAUGUCUCAUUGUCAGAAAACAAUUAAAGGCUAGAAACCAGCACUGGUCUUCUUGCAGUUGGGAAUUACAGUUGUUGGCAGCUGUCAGGUUAGGUUAGGAAAGGAUAGGUUAGGAAGUCUUUAAACCAGGAGUAUUGAUGCUGUCUCUGUUCUGGGAAUUUCCCAAAACCCAGAGGAAUUGUGCGUGGGUGAGAACUGACCUGGUAUUCAAGCUGCCAUUUCUUCCAUUACAGUGAAGGCUCUAGGUGAAGGGAUGCUCUCCUGAUGCUCAGAGAGCAUGGAAGGUUUCGAGGGGUGAAGGCAGGUGAGGUGCUCCCCAUAGAGGAUACAGGCUGAGCUGACACACAGGAGCACAGUAGGUAGGUGCGAUUAAAGAAUUUGGUGAAGCUGUCAAAAGAUGUUGUUCUCAGGCAAACAGAAACACACAUGCACUCACCUUAGCUGGAUUCAGCCUGAUGUCAUAAAGUGGAAGCAAAAUUAUCAUAAAAAUAAGCAUAAGGGCCCUGAAAAAAGCAAGAGGACUCACAGAACUCCUGCAAAAUAUCACUGAAGGGCAUUUGAAGUGUCAUUUUGCAGAAUGUACAGCUGGAAGAGUAGCGUGGUUAGGAUAGAAUUUUAAGGGUGUUAUAGUUGGAAACGUUAUUGUGGUAAAAAAGAAACAAGCAAGGAAGAAACACUCUCCUGUACCUGAGGAUCCAGGCUCACAAUGGAAAACUCCAAAAGGGAGGGAUCUCCAGAAAAAGAUCCUUCCCUAGUGGCAGUCAGCCCUUAAAUGGGGUGUAGGAGAGGUGCGGCCAGGCUCCACCCCUUCUGGUCACACGGCUGAAUUGCCUUCACCUGUGCUCCCAUGGCUGACCCAGUCCUUGCUUCAGGUGAUCAAUCAGUGGUUCAGGCCGUGACUCAACAGUUCCCAUACACAAGAGUAGUGAAGUAUUUUUCAGUUUCAAAAAGAGCAAAGGAGCAGGAACACAAACGUUGACUUUCCAAAUAUUGUGAGUAACAUCAAAGGGCAGUCAAUAACAGUAUUAGAAGGGACCAAAUGCAAACUUGUCAGAAGCAAGAGUCCCAUUUGUUGAGUGAAGAGGUCUCUACCUAAAUUGUGUGGAGGGUCCUAGAUCACACUGGACAAGUAUGAGCUAGUCUUUCAUUUCCAGAAGAAGCCACUGCUUGACAGCCCACGGAUGUCUGGGGCUCUUGCAUGAAGGUUAAAUAACAGAGACCAUAGAAUCAUGCAAUGGUUUAGGUUGGAAGGGACCUCAAAGCCUACCCAUUCCAACCCCAUGCCAUGGGCAGAGCUGCCCCCCAGCAGCUCAGCUGCCCAGGGCCCCAUCCAACCUGGCCUUGAACGCCUCCAGGGAUGGGGCACUACAACUUCUCUGGGCAGCUGUGCCAGUGCCUCACCAAUCUCUGAUACAGAAUUUCUUCCUAACAUCUAACCUAAACUUCCCCUCUUUUAGUUUAAAGCCACUUCCCCUCAUCCUAUCACUGUAAGUUCAUGGGAAAAGUUGGUUUCCCUCCUGCUUUCUUUACAAAUUGCUAAGUGCAGAUUUACUCUUGCUCUGUGUUGGAGUCAAGACAGCCAACACAGUUACACCCAACUUGUCCAAAAGGGCAGGGACUGUGUUUAUACUGGUUUCCUGCCAUCCAUCUGGGUUUCCAUGCCUGGUAAGCCAGUCUCUUUGUACCCAAAGCAGGCCAACAUGAGCAGAACCGAUGUCCAGGAAUCUCAGAGUGGUGCUAAAAUCAUAGCUAACAGAACAGAUACAGGCAGAAAAAAUUAUUCACACUGAGAGACAGAAAAUCCACAGCUGCCAGCAGGAUUUGGAAGAGAGUUUUCUGUGAAAAAAAAGCUCUCUCUUUUGAGUGACCAGAUAGGCAAGGAAAAAGUGACAUGAGACUACCUCCCACAGUUGUCAAUAGUCACACAACCUUUAAAAAGCCAUGACUAAGAGAAAUGAAAAGCACUGAGAGCUACUGCACAGUACUAAAGCCAUCCCAGUUCAGUUAUGAAAAUGUAUCCAAAGUCUAUUUGACUAAAACUCAAACACUGUGAUCCUUGUUUACUGUGUAGAACAAACACCCCAUAUGGCAGGCGGAAAUGAUCCACGGACGCAAGUCUUUACAAGCGUCCUCGUUAUGGUGAGGUCAGAGCGUGCUGUGUAUGUCUGUCAUUUUCUUAGGGCUUUUUCUUCUCCUCCUCCUGCUUUUUGUCAAUGGCCUUGACUUCCUGUCUGCUUUCUAUUUACAGUUGUAACAGGGAGGGAUAAAACCAGACACCAUUGUAUUGGACUGGGACAGAAACAGGGGUUGAAAUGUGAAUGAAAAUUAAAUUGAUGAAUAGUUCUUGCUAGUAUCCUGGUUCACAAGAAAAGAGGACAUAUAUAGGUUCAUCAAAUUCAUAGUUUUGAAGCAAAAACCUUUGCCACAUACUGUGAAGUCCAGCAUAUAAAUACUGGGCAUAUGAUACAGGGGACACGUUGGGAAUAUUUUCCUCUCAUCAAAGAUAAUGUGUUUUUCUUCAGUUUUGCCCACUCUGUCCCAUCACCUUUGUGGUAAACCAAGCAAGAUUCCUAUUUUGUAAUUCUUUCUCAGAAAUCUUUUGUCUGCAACCCUGCUCAGAAUCUUCCAGCAUUGAAAUAUUCCCCAUUGAACUAACAGCUUCAUCCUUCCCACUAAUGCCUUGGUCAACAGCUGGUUUCCUCUCAGUUGUGGAACUACACCACUGAUGAGAGCCUGGACCAUUCAGGAAGAUUCAUCACAACAGCAGGGACUGGAGAGGAUAGGUGUGAAUAAACGACUGAGAUUUUUCUAUCCAGACCCAGUUCUACUAUUUAGACUUCAAGAGAAAAAACAAUAUUAAAAUAGCAAUUUGGCAUAUGUGCUUCAUUGCUUAUCAGGUUGUUUGUUCAAGAAAGAAAGUGCUGCAGGAGGUCAUUUCACCAGGAGAAGGCUCAGAAAACCUGGAAGUCUUUGAUGAAAAUCAAUGGUCAGAUUGAGUGUCUGUGGCAAUGAAUGAGAACAUAUUAAAAUGGCAUGGGAAGCUUAAUCUGUGAUUGAUCUCCCAACAAUUACCCUGCUUUCGGAACCUCUCCAUAUCAUUUAAUGAGGUGAUUUCAAUGUUCUAAUAAAAUGUGGCAGGGGAAUGUUUCCAGAUGUCCAGUGCGUAAGGACAUAAACGCUUUUCUGCAACCAUAGUCUGCAUAUUAAACCAACAGACAUAAUCUUCUGAUUGAAUUACUCUUCUGUCCCAGUUACAGAGAAAGGAGCACUGAAAAGUCAUGAGAUUCUGAAAAAUUCUUUUGAAGUCUAUCAGUGUUAUACAAAACGAAAUCCGCCUUCUCUGCUAAUUUAUUUGCAUAAAACUCCAUAAUUUCACAAGUACUGAAAUAUCUCCUCUUACAACAUUUCUCUAAAAUUUGUCACUUACUCUUCCAUUAGAAAUAAAAAUGUUGUUACUCAUGCCCCAUGAUUUAGUCCUUUAUAUCUUAUCACUGCGGAAGAGAGACCUACUGGUGUAAGACCAGCCUUUAAGCUACACUUGGAGAACAGAGGAAGAAAUCAUGAUGUGAUAAAAACGUUGAGGACACUGGGAACGACACUGGGUCAGACCACUUGCCCAAGAUGCCUUGCAGCCAGCACUAGGUGGUCACCAGUGUUCCCAGACAGAUGUGCAGCACUUCAGUGUGAACACUGAUUUUAUUAUUUUUCAUUCACAAGGGUCUUCUGAAACCACUGGUCUGAUUUCCCUACUUCAAAGAACUCAUAUCAGAGAGUUCACAUGACAUAUCACCAGACCCAUAGCUGCUGUUGCCCAUAUUCAGUAUGUAUAUAUCAAGCAGCCAAUUAACCAUGUUGGAGGAUACCUGUGAGCAGCCCUGGCCUCUCUCAGACCCUUGUUAGGUAAUCAUGUGUUCUGGUGCAUGGGCCCAGCAUUUUCCCCAAGUUUGCCAGACCUGUCCCUUCAAACUGUUCCUCGGUCAAACACUUACGGCCAUCUUCAUGCUUCACAAAGUAUUUUGAUGACAAAUAUCUCAGAGGGAUUUUGGAGUGCUUACAUACCUGUCUUGUACAAAGCAACCUGACACCUUAAAAGUCAGGAGCGAAAUUACUCCCCUCAUUAUCUCGCCCUUCAUUACCUGCUAUGUGGGACAGUGACACAUAACUGCUAUAGUAGAGAACCCAUGUCUCUAUUUUCUGUCCACUUGAGACUGGACGGUUUGUCUCUGUCUGCAUUCACCCAUCAAGAGCAAAUAAAAACUCAACUAAUCUCUGACAGCUGAGGUCACAGCCAGUCUUGAUGUCAGGGAGCGUAAACACAGUUCUCUUAGCUGGGAAAAAAAGGGAGAAAGGGUGGCUCACUUAACCCUCUCUGCUCUGUAAACAGUCUUGUUAGUUUUCAGCUAUCACAAAAGCAUAUUCCACAUCACAUAUGGCAAAUAUUAACCAGAUAUUGAUUGCAGUUCUAUUCACACAACAGUCAGUAAUGCUUUCAGUCCUCC
Gallus gallus (chicken) is the source of this 7861-nucleotide long non-coding RNA. NCBI's taxonomy places the organism in Eukaryota, Metazoa, Chordata, Aves, Galliformes, Phasianidae. The record is from Ensembl.